Molecule: ribosomal RNA, 253 nt
Filed under: uncultured bacterium
Lineage: Bacteria
Description: partial 16S ribosomal RNA
Rfam family: Bacterial small subunit ribosomal RNA
Source: RNAcentral
UACGUAGGGGGCAAGCGUUGUCCGGAUUUAUUGGGCGUAAAGAGCGUGUAGGCGGCCAGAUAGGUCCGUUGUGAAAACUCGAGGCUCAACCUCGAGACGCCGAUGGAAACCAUUUGGCUAGAGUCCGGAAGAGGAGAGUGGAAUUCCUGGUGUAGCGGUGAAAUGCGCAGAUAUCAGGAGGAACACCGGUGGCGAAGGCGGGUCUCUGGGCCGUAACUGACGCUGAGGAGCGAAAGCGUGGGGAGCGAACAGG